This 1079-nucleotide ribosomal RNA is filed under the name uncultured Rhizaria. RNAcentral's name for it is "SSU rRNA". It matches the Rfam family "Eukaryotic small subunit ribosomal RNA", at positions 577 to 1674 of the family's 1831-position model. The record is from RNAcentral.
CGGUAAUUCCAGCUCCAAUAGCGUAUACUAAAGUUGUUGCAGUUAAAAAGCUCGUAGUUGGAUUUCUGCGGGGACGGAGCGGCCGGACGCAACUUGCGUCUCGAGCUAGCGCUUUCCCCGCAUCCUGCCGCGAACCGUGCUACCAUUAGUUUGGUGGCGCUGGGGAUCGGCUCGAUUACUUUGAGAAAAAUAGAGUGUUCAAAGCAGGCCACACGCCUUGAAUAAGUUAGCAUGGAAUAAUGACUAAGGACUUUGGUUCUUUUCGUUGGUGUUCGGGACUGAAGUAAUGAUUGAUAGGGACAGUUGGGGCGGUCCGUAUUCCAAAGCGAGAGGUGAAAUUCUUAGACCUUCGGAAGACGAACAGCUGCGAAAGCGUUCCGCAAGGAUGUUCCCUUUGAUCAAGAACGAAAGUUGGGGGAUCGAAGACGAUCAGAUACCGUCGUAGUCUCAACUAUAAACUAUACCAGCUAGGGGUCGGCCAACGUUUAAUUAUUCGACUUGGUCGGCACCUUAUGAGAAAUCAAAGCAUCUGGGUUCCGGGGGGAGUAUGGUCGCAAGGCUGAAACUUAAAGGAAUUGACGGAAGGGCACCACCAGGCGUGGAGCCUGUGGCUUAAUUUGACUCAACACGGGAAAACUUACCAGGUCCAGACAUAGGAAGGAUUGACAGAUUGAUAGCUCUUUCUUGAUUCUGUGGGUGGUGGUGCAUGGCCGUUUUUAGUCGGUGAAGUGAUUUGUCUGCUUAAUUGCGUUAACGGACGAGACCCCAGCCUGCUAAUAGCGCGGCCGAGCUCUGCUCGGUACGAGCUUCCUAGAGGGACCAUGAUGCGCAAUAGCACAAGGAAGUUUGGGGCAACAACAGGUCUGUGAUGCCCUUAGAUGUUCUGGGCCGCACACGGGCUACACUGGCGCCUGCAACGAGCAUAUCAGCUGGCCCGAGAGGGUCUUGGCUAAUCUUUGGAACCGGCGCCGUGCUUGGGAUUGACCAUUGCAAUUGUUGGUCAUGCAACGAGGAAUGCCUUGUAAACGCGAGUCAUCAGCUCGCAUUGAAUACGUCCCUGCCCCUUGUACACACCGCCC